CCUACGGGAGGCAGCAGUGGGGAAUAUUGCACAAUGGGGGAAACCCUGAUGCAGCGACGCCGCGUGAGUGAAGAAGUAUUUCGGUAUGUAAAGCUCUAUCAGCAGGGAAGAAGAAAGACGGUACCUGACUAAGAAGCCCCGGCUAACUACGUGCCAGCAGCCGCGGUAAUACGUAGGGGGCAAGCGUUAUCCGGAUUUACUGGGUGUAAAGGGAGCGUAGACGGCUGUGCAAGUCUGAAGUGAAAGCCCGGGGCUCAACCGUGGGACUGCUUUGGAAACUGUGGAGCUAGAGUGCUGGAGAGGAAGGUGGAAUUCCUAGUGUAGCGGUGAAAUGCGUAGAUAUUAGGAGGAACACCAGUGGCGAAGGCGGCUUACUGGACAGUAACUGACGUUGAGGCUCGAAAGCGUGGGGAGCAAACAGGAUUAGAUACCCGUGUAGUC
RNAcentral lists this ribosomal RNA (441 nucleotides) under uncultured bacterium. RNAcentral describes it as "partial 16S ribosomal RNA". It matches the Rfam family "Bacterial small subunit ribosomal RNA", at positions 338 to 795 of the family's 1533-position model. The record is from RNAcentral.